GAUGAACGCUGGCGGCGUGCCUAAUACAUGCAAGUCGAACGAAACUUCUUUAUCACCGAGUGCUUGCACUCACCGAUAAAGAGUUGAGUGGCGAACGGGUGAGUAACACGUGGGCAACCUGCCCAAAAGAGGGGGAUAACACUUGGAAACAGGUGCUAAUACCGCAUAACCAUAGUUACCGCAUGGUAACUAUGUAAAAGGUGGCUAUACUACCGCUUUUGGAUGGGCCCGCGGCGCAUUAGCUAGUUGGUAGGGUAAAGGCUUACCAAGGCAAUGAUGCGUAGCCGAAUUGAGAGGUUGAUCGGCCGCAUUGGAACUGAGACACGGCCCAAACUCCUACGGGAGGCAGCAGUAGGGAAUCUUCCACAAUGGGCGAAAGCCUGAUGGAGCAACGCCGCGUGGGUGAAGAAGGUCUUCGGAUCGUAAAACCCUGUUGUUAGAGAAGAAAGUGCGUGAGAGUAACUGUUCACGUUUCGACGGUAUCUAACCAGAAAGCCACGGCUAACUACGUG
RNAcentral lists this ribosomal RNA (512 nucleotides) under uncultured bacterium. RNAcentral's name for it is "partial 16S ribosomal RNA". It matches the Rfam family "Bacterial small subunit ribosomal RNA", at positions 28 to 507 of the family's 1533-position model. The record is from RNAcentral.